AUGAACGCUGGCGGCGUGCCUAAUACAUGCAAGUCGAGCGAACAGACGAGGAGCUUGCUCCUCUGACGUUAGCGGCGGACGGGUGAGUAACACGUGGAUAACCUACCUAUAAGACUGGGAUAACUUCGGGAAACCGGAGCUAAUACCGGAUAAUAUAUUGAACCGCAUGGUUCAAUAGUGAAAGACGGUUUUGCUGUCACUUAUAGAUGGAUCCGCGCCGCAUUAGCUAGUUGGUAAGGUAACGGCUUACCAAGGCAACGAUGCGUAGCCGACCUGAGAGGGUGAUCGGCCACACUGGAACUGAGACACGGUCCAGACUCCUACGGGAGGCAGCAGUAGGGAAUCUUCCGCAAUGGGCGAAAGCCUGACGGAGCAACGCCGCGUGAGUGAUGAAGGUCUUCGGAUCGUAAAACUCUGUUAUUAGGGAAGAACAAAUGUGUAAGUAACUAUGCACGUCUUGACGGUACCUAAUCAGAAAGCCACGGCUAACUACGCG
RNAcentral lists this ribosomal RNA (496 nucleotides) under uncultured bacterium. RNAcentral's name for it is "partial 16S ribosomal RNA". It matches the Rfam family "Bacterial small subunit ribosomal RNA", at positions 29 to 507 of the family's 1533-position model. The record is from RNAcentral.